This 691-nucleotide ribosomal RNA is filed under the name Phlegmacium tirolianum. RNAcentral describes it as "eukaryotic LSU rRNA". The stretch from base 286 to 439 matches the Rfam family "5.8S ribosomal RNA". The record is from RNAcentral. Lineage: Eukaryota; Fungi; Basidiomycota; Agaricomycetes; Agaricales; Cortinariaceae.
AAGUCGUAACAAGGUUUCCGUAGGUGAACCUGCGGAAGGAUCAUUAUUGAAAUAAACCUGAUGAGUUGCUGCUGGUUCUCUAGGGAGCAUGUGCACGCUUGUCAUCUUUAUAUCUCCACCUGUGCAYCUUUUGUAGACCUGGAUAUAUCUCUCUGAAUGCUCGCCACUCAGGUUUGAGGAUUGACUUUAUGUCUCUCCUUGCAUUUCCAGGCCUAUGUUUCUUUAUAUACCCCAAUGUAUGUCAUAGAAUGUAAUCAAUGGGCCUUUGUGCCUAUAAACCUAUACAACUUUCAGCAACGGAUCUCUUGGCUCUCGCAUCGAUGAAGAACGCAGCGAAAUGCGAUAAGUAAUGUGAAUUGCAGAAUUCAGUGAAUCAUCGAAUCUUUGAACGCACCUUGCGCUCCUUGGUAUUCCGAGGAGCAUGCCUGUUUGAGUGUCAUUAAUAUAUCAACCUCUUCAGAUUUUAUUUGUUGAGUGUUGGAUUUGGGGGUCUUUUUUGCUGGUCUUCUAAAGAUCAGCUCCCCUGAAAUGCAUUAGCAGAACGAUUUGUGGACCGUUCAUUGGUGUGAUAACUAUCUACGCUAUUGACGUGAAACAGUUCAGCUUCUAACAGUCCAUUGACUUGGACAAAUUUUCAUUAAUGUGACCUCAAAUCAGGUAGGACUACCCGCUGAACUUAAGCAUAUCAAUA